AUGAAGAUGAAGACAAUAACGACAAACUCAAUUUCAAGUAAUUUCUGUCUCCAAGACUAUGAAGGGAGGCAUUUUUCUCCUUUGCCAGACAGGCAGCGGCACCUAGUGGCUAAAUUCAGACUCUGGACUGAAAGGAACUUCAGUGGCCAACUAGUCCAAUUCUGCUCAUGUGAUAGAUGAAGAAACUGAGAGAGGCCCAGAGAAGGGGGAGGAGAUGUAUCAAAUGGCUAGAGACUUUGCUGAAAUUACAAUGCUACCCGCUGACCAAUCAUGCUACCUCUCAGGAGAAACAACCGAAUCCAAACAUUCCCCUUGAACCAAAAGUGCUUUCGUUGCUCACAAGGGCUGUUCUGCAGGAAUCCACAAAACAACAAGAAAAAGCAUUUUAUGUAAUAAGAAAUGAUUCUGGUUUCGCAGUUUAUGCACAAUUCCAGAGAGCGCUGGAGGGGCUAAGAAACUCUUUUAUAGUUAUAAAAGGAAUCAACAAAGAAUCCAUGGAAAGAAUCUCUGUUACCUGACAUCCUUCUAUCUGUUCCCUGUCCUAAACCCUCAAGCCAAUGUCUUCUUUAGGCAUUUGGUAAGUGAUAUGACUGACAUCCAUAAUUGCUUUGGGGAGUAAACUGAGUGAUGUGAUGCUUUUCUCUCUGCUCACUCGUG
RNAcentral lists this long non-coding RNA (657 nucleotides) under Monodelphis domestica (gray short-tailed opossum). Its description in RNAcentral is "lncRNA (ENSMODG00000035984.2)". Lineage: Eukaryota; Metazoa; Chordata; Mammalia; Didelphimorphia; Didelphidae. The record is from RNAcentral.